Molecule: ribosomal RNA, 724 nt
Filed under: Turdus philomelos (song thrush)
Lineage: Eukaryota; Metazoa; Chordata; Aves; Passeriformes; Turdidae
Description: partial 12S ribosomal RNA
Rfam family: Bacterial small subunit ribosomal RNA
Source: RNAcentral
GGUAAAUCUCGUGCCAGCCACCGCGGUCAUACAGGAGGCUCAAAUUAACUUUAUAACGGCGUAAAGAGUGGUCGCAUGUUAUCCAAGUAGCUAAGAUUAAAAAGCAACUGAGCUGUCAUAAGCCCAAGAUGCCCAUAAGGCCUCCGUCUUCAAAGAAGAUCUUAGAACAACGAUUAAUUGAAGCCACGAAAGCCAGGACCCAAACUGGGAUUAGAUACCCCACUAUGCCUGGCCCUAAAUCUUGAUGCUCGAUAUUACCUGAGCAUCCGCCCGAGAACUACGAGCACAAACGCUUAAAACUCUAAGGACUUGGCGGUGCCCCAAACCCACCUAGAGGAGCCUGUUCUGUAAUCGAUGAUCCACGAUAUUACCUGACCAUUUCUUGCACGAAACAGCCUAUAUACCGCCGUCGCCAGCCCACCUUUCCUGACAGCCCAACAGUGGACGCAAUAGCCUAACCCGCUAGUAAGACAGGUCAAGGUAUAGCCUAUGGAAUGGAAGCAAUGGGCUACAUUUUCUAGAUUAGAACAUACGGAUAGGGGUAUGAAACUGCCCCUGGAAGGCGGAUUUAGCAGUAAAGAGAGACAAUCGAGCCCUCUUUAAGCCGGCUCUGGAGCACGUACAUACCGCCCGUCACCCUCCUCAUAAGCGCCCAACACACCCAAUACCUAAUAAGCCAUCCAGCUAAAGAGGAGGUAAGUCGUAACAAGGUAAGCAUACUGGA